AACAGGAUUAGAUACCCUGGUAGUCCACGCCGUAAACGAUGAGUGCUAGGUGUUGGGGGGCUACGCCCCUCAGUGCCGAAGGUAACCCAUUAAGCACUCCGCCUGGGGAGUACGGCCGCAAGGCUGAAACUCAAAGGAAUUGACGGGGGCCCGCACAAGCGGUGGAGCAUGUGGUUUAAUUCGAAGCAACGCGAAGAACCUUACCAGGGCUUGACAUCCCGCUGACCCCUCCAGAGAUGGAGGUUUCCUUCGGGACAGCGGUGACAGGUGGUGCAUGGUUGUCGUCAGCUCGUGUCGUGAGAUGUUGGGUUCAGUCCCGCAACGAGCGCAACCCUUGUCGUUAGUUGCCAGCAUUUCGGAUGGGCACUCUAACGAGACAGCCGGUGAAAGCCGGAGGAAGGUGGGGAUGACGUCAAAUCAUCAUGCCCCUUAUGUCCUGGGCUACACACGUGCUACAAUGGCUGGUACAAAGGGCAGCGAACCCGCGAGGGGGAGCCAAUCCCAAAAAGCCAGUCUCAGUUCGGAUCGCAGGCUGCAACUCGCCUGCGUGAAGCCGGAAUCGCUAGUAAUCGCGGAUCGGCAUGCCGCGGUGAAUACGUUCCCGGGCCUUGUACACACCGCCCGUCACACCACGAGAGUUUGCAACACCCGAAGUCGGUGAGGCAACCUUUUAGGAGCCAGCCGCCGAAGGUGGGGCAGAUGAUUGGGGUGAAGUCGUAACAAGGUAACC
This 730-nucleotide ribosomal RNA is filed under the name uncultured bacterium. Its description in RNAcentral is "bacterial SSU rRNA". It matches the Rfam family "Bacterial small subunit ribosomal RNA", at positions 771 to 1501 of the family's 1533-position model. The record is from RNAcentral.